This 224-nucleotide long non-coding RNA is filed under the name Hordeum vulgare. RNAcentral describes it as "long non-coding RNA (HVUL_LNC008713)". Lineage: Eukaryota; Viridiplantae; Streptophyta; Magnoliopsida; Poales; Poaceae. The record is from RNAcentral.
AAGAUGAUCAACACACAAAGCGUACAAGAUGUACCGAGAGGGAUCAAGUGAUCCCAUGGUAUGGUAAGCAUUAUCCAUUACGUGUUUGUGUACUAACCCAUGGUCUUCGUGAGAGUUCUAUGUGGGGGUUAGGUGUGUUUACAUGGGCUUGCGUCAAAGGGAAGAUCUCAUACAACCCAUGGAGUAUGACGUCAAGUUGUGAUCAUCAUCAAUGGUUGAUCAAG